RNAcentral lists this ribosomal RNA (775 nucleotides) under uncultured Neocallimastigales. Its description in RNAcentral is "partial large subunit ribosomal RNA". It matches the Rfam family "Eukaryotic large subunit ribosomal RNA", at positions 22 to 621 of the family's 3401-position model. Lineage: Eukaryota; Fungi; Neocallimastigomycota; Neocallimastigomycetes; Neocallimastigales. The record is from RNAcentral.
AUAUCAGUCAUGCAUAGCAUAUCAAUAAGCGGAGGAAAAGAAACUAACAAGGAUUCCCUUAGUAACGGCGAGUGAAGCGGGAAGAGCUCAAAUUUGAAUCUUCAAGGUUUUACCUUGACGAAUUGUAGUUUAAAGAAGUGUUUUCUGUUGAAGUUUUGGUAAAAGUUCUUUGGAAUAGGACAUCAUAGAGGGUGAGAAUCCCGUAUUUGACCAUUACUUUCAGCUUUGUGAUACACUUUCAAAGAGUCGGAUUGUUUGGGAAUGCAGUCCAAAAUGGGUGGUAAAUUUCAUCUAAAGCUAAAUAUUGGCGAGAGACCGAUAGCGAACAAGUACCGUGAGGGAAAGAUGAAAAGAACUUUGAAAAGAGAGUUAAACAGUACGUGAAAUUGUCAAAAGGGAAGCGUUUGACACCAGUGUUGUUUUCUCGAAAAUCAAUUAAAAAGAGUUGGAUUUUGUGUUGUAUUGACUUUAUCAGGCUUUCUUCACUCUUUUCCAGCUUUUUUUAAUGCACUUUUCGUUUAACAAGUCAACAUCAGUUUCUUUUGUUGUAAAAAGGUCAUUGGAAGGUGGCUUUCUCUUCGGAGAAAGUGUUUAUAGCCUUUGACUCAUGCAAUCGGAGAGACUGAGGUCUGCAGCGUAGAUCCUUCGGGGUUAGAUACAUUUGUGCUAAGUUAUAGCUUUUCAUAGACAACUUGUUGACUAUGUUUAGUCUUGUAGCUUACUCGCUUACUGCUAUUUUACCUACGCUUAGGAUGUUGAACUCUAUCACACACAG